Molecule: ribosomal RNA, 825 nt
Filed under: Escherichia coli
Lineage: Bacteria; Pseudomonadati; Pseudomonadota; Gammaproteobacteria; Enterobacterales; Enterobacteriaceae
Description: partial 23S ribosomal RNA
Rfam family: Bacterial large subunit ribosomal RNA
Source: RNAcentral
CGGGACACGUGGUAUCCUGUCUGAAUAUGGGGGGACCAUCCUCCAAGGCUAAAUACUCCUGACUGACCGAUAGUGAACCAGUACCGUGAGGGAAAGGCGAAAAGAACCCCGGCGAGGGGAGUGAAAAAGAACCUGAAACCGUGUACGUACAAGCAGUGGGAGCACGCUUAGGCGUGUGACUGCGUACCUUUUGUAUAAUGGGUCAGCGACUUAUAUUCUGUAGCAAGGUUAACCGAAUAGGGGAGCCGAAGGGAAACCGAGUCUUAACUGGGCGUUAAGUUGCAGGGUAUAGACCCGAAACCCGGUGAUCUAGCCAUGGGCAGGUUGAAGGUUGGGUAACACUAACUGGAGGACCGAACCGACUAAUGUUGAAAAAUUAGCGGAUGACUUGUGGCUGGGGGUGAAAGGCCAAUCAAACCGGGAGAUAGCUGGUUCUCCCCGAAAGCUAUUUAGGUAGCGCCUCGUGAAUUCAUCUCCGGGGGUAGAGCACUGUUUCGGCAAGGGGGUCAUCCCGACUUACCAACCCGAUGCAAACUGCGAAUACCGGAGAAUGUUAUCACGGGAGACACACGGCGGGUGCUAACGUCCGUCGUGAAGAGGGAAACAACCCAGACCGCCAGCUAAGGUCCCAAAGUCAUGGUUAAGUGGGAAACGAUGUGGGAAGGCCCAGACAGCCAGGAUGUUGGCUUAGAAGCAGCCAUCAUUUAAAGAAAGCGUAAUAGCUCACUGGUCGAGUCGGCCUGCGCGGAAGAUGUAACGGGGCUAAACCAUGCACCGAAGCUGCGGCAGCGACGCUGAUGCGUUGUUGGGUAGGGGAGCGUUCUG